CAUCUGUAUAUAAAUGAGGAGUAACUCCACUGAAGCCAAUGGAAUCACACUGGGAAGGACAAGGAAUUCAGAAAAUUCUAUUCCUAAAGUCAUGUUAACUGUGGACAGCCCCAAAAGUAAGUUUUCCCACUUUCACCCUGCCAGUGAUGACUACAGCUUCAACUUGAAGAAUCUGCCAUCUUAAAUGCUAGCAAUUUUAACAGAAGGAGCAAGAGGAGACCAAGUUCGUAUGGAAUGGAGGAGAAGAGAAGGACUCCACCCCACUCUCCUUGGAUGCAGUGCAUAUCUCCCGUGCCAUGCUGGGCUAACUGCAUGAAUCAGCACAGAUGAGAGCAUGGUCCUGGCCCCUUCUGAGGCAGCUAGAACUGGCAAUGACACUAAUAUGGAGCAUCUCCUACAUUUAAGAGAGUGCUAGUAUUGCCACUAUGACCAGCUCUUGCAAUACAAGUGCAGCAGGGAGAGAGGAGAUGAGAAGAAGAUUCUCCUUGCCCCAUCCCUGCCUUGCAUAUCCAUACAUAGACCAACUACACUUAUGCCCUGUGUCUAUAUAGCAAAAUAACCUGUGAUACCAAGAUAUCGGAUAUAUGAAAAUUGCCUCGCUUCAGGUAUAUUAUUCAAAUGUUUAAACUAUGCGCAGAGUGAAUGAACAGUUCUUGUUAACCUGUUGACUGUAAUCCAGCAGUACAAUAAUUAAACAUUUAAUAUAAUCUAUUACUGUAGUCAUUUAGCAUCUUUAGGUAAGGAUUUCAAACAUUAAGCCACACAAGCCCACCACCCCCACCAUGAACCUGAGUGAGUAGUGUUAAUCCCUUUUCACCGAUGGAGAAACUGAGGAAUAGAGUGGUUAAGUGGCGUGCUCAAAAACACAAAGGUAUGUCUCCAUAUCAUUCCACACAAACUAUCGGCCAAAUCCUGACUGGGCACAUGCACAUAACAGCACAAAACCCCACACCACUGCUAUUGCACUCGCUGGACAUGAAGACCACCUUAUUCUGGCCCUUAACAAAAGUCAU
Mauremys reevesii (Reeves's turtle) is the source of this 1013-nucleotide long non-coding RNA. RefSeq lists it as uncharacterized. The transcript has 4 exons. The record is from RefSeq and is a predicted model, not a curated record. Lineage: Eukaryota; Metazoa; Chordata; Testudines; Geoemydidae.